Molecule: ribosomal RNA, 640 nt
Filed under: uncultured Thiobacillus sp.
Lineage: Bacteria; Pseudomonadati; Pseudomonadota; Betaproteobacteria; Nitrosomonadales; Thiobacillaceae
Description: bacterial SSU rRNA
Rfam family: Bacterial small subunit ribosomal RNA
Source: RNAcentral
GAGUUUGAUCAUGGCUCAGAUUGAACGCUGGCGGAAUGCUUUACACAUGCAAGUCGAACGGCAGCACGGGAGCUUGCUCCUGGUGGCGAGUGGCGAACGGGUGAGUAAUGCGUCGGAACGUACCGAGUAAUGGGGGAUAACGCACCGAAAGGUGUGCUAAUACCGCAUACGCCCCGAGGGGGAAAGCAGGGGAUCGUAAGACCUUGCGUUAUUCGAGCGGCCGACGUCUGAUUAGCUAGUUGGUGGGGUAAAGGCCUACCAAGGCGACGAUCAGUAGCGGGUCUGAGAGGAUGAUCCGCCACACUGGGACUGAGACACGGCCCAGACUCCUACGGGAGGCAGCAGUGGGGAAUUUUGGACAAUGGGGGAAACCCUGAUCCAGCCAUUCCGCGUGAGUGAAGAAGGCCUUCGGGUUGUAAAGCUCUUUCAGCCGGAACGAAACGGUACGCUCUAACAUAGCGUGCUAAUGACGGUACCGGCAGAAGAAGCACCGGCAAACUACGUGCCAGCAGCCGCGGUAAUACGUAGGGUGCGAGCGUUAAUCGGAAUUACUGGGCGUAAGGCGUGCGCAGGCGGAUUGUUAAGCAAGAUGUGAAAUCCCCGGGCUUAACCUGGGAAUGGCAUUUUGAACUGGCAGUCU